UACACUCAUGAUUAUGGAAAUAGAAACAGAUUGUGAGUCAGAGAAGAAGUUGAGUCAGAAUGAAUAUGUGAAGUCAGUAGAAUGGAAUGAUCACGGCCAUUAACUUUGCCUUGUGAAAGGUGGUAAGGCAAGACCAGUCAAAGAACCAAAGCAAAGAGGGCACCCAAAGGGCAACUGGAUAAAAUUGCCAAGAUGUGUUGACAGCUAAAAUGACAGUUAUACCUGAAAGAAAAAGUUGGAGACAGCAGAGGAGCUAUGUAAGAGAGUUAUUGAUUAUCUCCUGUAGGUCAGAAAGUAAAAAAGGCCCCACUACCUCAAUUGAUAUUAAUUGAAAAGCUUGCUGACAUCACUAACAGAAAAGCCUUGGACUGCACUGAUGGGAACUUGUUUUCUAAUCUUAAAACUGGUCCUUCUACUGAUUUAUUGAAGUAUCAACCACAUCUGAGAUUUUCUCUGCUGCCUUGCUUUCGAAAAGUGCUGUGCAACAGGAGCCUUUGUCAAACACAAUCCAAGGGUUUAAUCAUCUUCUCUGCAAUCUUCAGAAAUGCACAAGGAGUAUAAACACCAUUGCCAUUUCAGCAGAGUGCCUUUAUGGGAUAUCAAAAGAAAACAUCCCGGAAAUUUCAGUCAUAACUUCAGGGUUUUUUUACCCUCUGUCUCAAAUAAGGGCCAGAUGCACACUCUGAGACUGAGUCAUAGUGAGGGAUUUUUUGGUUAUUUAAUUACAGUUUUUAAUUAGUGUGAGAAAGCUUAACUGAUCCUAAAUAGUGGUAACAGUUGACAAAUUACAAAAGCACGCCAUGCCCACAGAAAAGCUAAUGCUGCAAGGAAGGCACCAGCAAUCAACACUCAUUUGUAAUCAGUUACAUUUCAAAGAAAUAGUUUUUCCAAGUAUCUUUGUGCAUGUGGGAUUAGUAUCGUCUUUGAAGUUUAAAUCAUUUUUUAAAUCCAGCUAGAGGCAAAUUAGAUAAGAAGGUGGCUGUGCACUUAAAUUAACACUUUGGAAAGCUCUCAUGAUUGUAAGAUCCAACCACUUAUCCUGAUAAAAUGGUGCCAACACUUUAAAGAGGUGUACCGUCUUAUUUUUUACCUAUAAAUUUUGUUGCUGACAGAUUUGAUAGGUGUGUGAUUCAGUGCUUAGCACUGGUAAUGUGAUUCAUCCCAGUUUCUGAACAGUUGUCCAAGAUGAACGUUCUGGUGAGGACUCCAGCGGUAUAAAUCGACUUCUAAGGGAUUUGGCCAUGCUUGCUGUUCUCAGUCUCGAUGCUGUUUUCCUACUCAGCCCCCAGAAACAAGGACCAGGGACAUCUGCUUGAGGUAGUGCCAGACCCAUCAAGUCCUACACAUGGUCACAAGCUUCGUUUCUGUACUCCGCUUCACACCCACUGGCCAGGGCCUCGGAGCAGCUGUGCCUGGUGCCUGGCUUCCCUGGGCAGGGGGCCUGUGCCACAGCCGAGGACAGGCACAGCUCGAAGACAGAUGCUCCAGCAACAGGCUCUCCCACGGUACACGGUUUCCCUGUGCCAUCUUCAUCGCGUUGUCUGGCACACUCAUCGCAUGCCUUCAUCAUUUGAUUAAAUGCCUGCCCCCAUCAGUGAGCACAGUGCGUGAUUCCUGCACAUCACGGCUUUGCUAACUCAAGAGGUCUGUUGUGGUGGACUGCCAGAUCCUGUCUCUGCAUCUCCUUUUAGAUUAUGUGGGUUUGGACUGUCAAUCACUUGCUGACAAAGAAUCAAUUCUCUCCACGGAGCCAAGUGGUUUGUAAAAUGCUUUCUGAAUCAUAUCAGCCAGAUGCCUUUACAACACUGCAUUUGUGACCAAGACUUGACAAAAGUAAAGGAGUUUCAAAAUAAAGUAUAUCUUAAUCAUUAAAAUUCUUGAAAAGUCAGCUAACUGGAUGGAGCAAUGGUAGGCAACUGAAAAGGGGGUGUUGUUUGGAACUGUGUAUAUAAAUCUUAAUCUCAGUGAAAAACUCCAGCAAAAGUAUUCUCACUUUUUUAAGAAAAAAAAAAAAAAAAAAAAAAAAAAAAAAAAAAAAAACUCAUCUGUAUUUGCAAGAGGAAAGAGCUAAAGUUUUGAUGCCUUUCAUGCAGCUUUUGGGAGCUGAGCCCGCAUAGUUUGAUCAGCAAGCAUUCAAAGUGAUUCACUCCAAGAGAAGUUAGACACCUGUUUACUUCUAGGAAUCCUAUUAUUCACAUCUUAAAUGUUUACCUUUUUGGAUGCCUGAUAUUUUUAUAAGUCAUACACUUUUUAUAAGUUUUUAUAAGCUAAUGGACAAGAAAGGAUCAGAUACAAAGUGUUAGCCUCCUGCCUUGUAAGUUGGAUCCUUGUAAAGGGUAUCUGAAGCCUGGAAUCAAGUUUACCUUAGCACUGAAAUCUCCUGAAGAUGAAAGCAUGAACCAAAUGUUCCCUGAGAGCUCAAAGACAGCACUCAACCUGGCUUCAAGGACACAAGGUUAUCACAUGGACUCUCACAGAACUGAGAUUUUCUGUCCGGAACCUGGAUCUAACAAGGUGAACAGAAGUGUUACAAAGCCCCACAGAGCCACCUGUACAGUUAAGUCUGAGGUCUGUGAAACAAAUUAUGUGAAUCACUUAUCUCCGUCAUUACAUUCAACACACUCUGUAAGAGGAAUUGAUGAGACCUUUCAGGAGCAUUUCAAGGUUUACUUUGCUGCAGUAUCUGUUGCAGAGGACUGCAUUUUUCAGCAUAAUGUGCUGCUUUAAAAUUAAUCCCAACCAAGUAAAAAGAUCUAACCUUUUUUGGUGUUACAGUUGUGAUAUUUUCCUUGUUGGGUACAAGUUUCCCUAAUACUCUACGCAACCAAAGAGAAGACGGAGUAGCUGCAAGCAAUGUCAGCUAACAGCUAACAAAAGAAUCAACAAAUUCACCUACUAGGCAUCACUCACUGCUCAGGUUGGCUUUCAUUUACUUAAAACACCCACUAGUGAUUAACAGUACAUCACUUGCCCCUAAUAAGAAAAAGCACACUUUUAAGAAACCAUCUGUACUGUGUCUAGUAGGACGCUUGUGAUGGAGGGAGGAAUAGGUUCUGCAGCUCAUUCCAAGAAAACCAAUGUCUUUACUUAUAGAAAAAAAAAAAAAAAAAAAUCAGAAAAGCACAGAGAGAGGAACAGAGGACAGAUGCAAUGACACUGCAGCAGCAGCAGCACAGCUCCCUGGAAGCUGGAGUUUAACAAGCCAAUGCUGCAAAGUGCUAAGCUCCCCUGCUGGAGCUAACGGGCACCCAAAAUCCUGAAGGAGGACACAUAUUUCUAAACUAAAAACUCUUUUACUCAGCUCUUUCUUUUUGCUGAGGCAAAAAAUGACUUAGUUCAUAAUCAGUGAAAAGCUGAUCCAACAGCUUAUGCAAGUGAGAUUCUUGCCAAAAGAAGGAGUGCUGGAACAAAUGAAUAACUUAAGGGAAAAUGGGAAAACACUGGUAACAUCUAAAAUGAUUUAACAAGGUGUCUAAUCCCAUAAAAAUAUAACAUUCUUUACUAGACUAGGGAACUGAAACGUGUUUACAUUUCAAAAUAAAAAGUGAAACCUAA
Oxyura jamaicensis (ruddy duck) is the source of this 3555-nucleotide long non-coding RNA. RefSeq lists it as uncharacterized. NCBI's taxonomy places the organism in Eukaryota, Metazoa, Chordata, Aves, Anseriformes, Anatidae. The record is from RefSeq and is a predicted model, not a curated record. The transcript has 5 exons.